Molecule: ribosomal RNA, 405 nt
Filed under: uncultured prokaryote
Description: bacterial SSU rRNA
Rfam family: Bacterial small subunit ribosomal RNA
Source: RNAcentral
UGGGGGAUAUUGCACAAUGGGCGAAAGCCUGAUGCAGCAACGCCGCGUGAGGGAAGACGGUUUUCGGAUUGUAAACCUCUGUCUUCGGUGAAGAAACAAAUGACGGUAACCGAGGAGGAAGCCACGGCUAACUACGUGCCAGCAGCCGCGGUAAUACGUAGGUGGCAAGCGUUGUCCGGAAUUACUGGGUGUAAAGGGAGCGCAGGUGGGGAGACAAGUCAGCUGUGAAAACGAUGGGCUUAACCCAUAAACUGCAGUUGAAACUGUUUUUCUUGAGUGGAGUAGAGGUAGGAGGAAUUCCGAGUGUAGCGGUGAAAUGCGUAGAUAUUCGGAGGAACACCAGUGGCGAAGGCGGCCUACUGGGCUCUAACUGACGCUGAGGCUCGAAAGUGUGGGGAGCAAACA